RNAcentral lists this ribosomal RNA (494 nucleotides) under uncultured bacterium. RNAcentral describes it as "partial 16S ribosomal RNA". It matches the Rfam family "Bacterial small subunit ribosomal RNA", at positions 28 to 507 of the family's 1533-position model. The record is from RNAcentral.
GACGAACGCUGGCGGCGUGCUUGACACAUGCAAGUCGAACGGAAAGGCCUGCUUUCCCUUGUGGAUUGCGGGUACUCGAGUGGCGAACGGGUGAGUAACACGUGAGUGAUCUGCCCCCAACUUGGGUAUAAGCCUGGGAAACUGGGUCUAAUUCCCGAUAGGACUGCAGGGUGGUGCCUGUGGUGGAAAACGAUUUUCUAGUGGUUGGGGAUGAGCUCGCGGCCUAUCAGCUUGUUGGUGGGGUAAUGGCCUACCAAGGCGGCGACGGGUAGCCGGCCUGAGAGGGUGGACGGCCACAUUGGGACUGAGAUACGGCCCAGACUCCUGCGGGAGGCAGCAGUGGGGAAUAUUGCACAAUGGGCGGAAGCCUGAUGCAGCGACGCCGCGUGGGGGAUGACGGCCUUCGGGUUGUAAACUCCUUUCGACCGCGAGGAAGCCACCUGGUUGGAAGGGUGGUGACGGUAGUGGUAGAAGAAGCACCGGCUAACUACGUG